This 497-nucleotide ribosomal RNA is filed under the name uncultured bacterium. RNAcentral's name for it is "partial 16S ribosomal RNA". It matches the Rfam family "Bacterial small subunit ribosomal RNA", at positions 28 to 507 of the family's 1533-position model. The record is from RNAcentral.
GAUGAACGCUGGCGGCGUGCCUAAUACAUGCAAGUCGAGCGAACAGACGAGGAGCUUGCUCCUCUGACGUUAGCGGCGGACGGGUGAGUAACACGUGGAUAACCUACCUAUAAGACUGGGAUAACUUCGGGAAACCGGAGCUAAUACCGUAUAAUAUAUUGAACCGCAUGGUUCAAUAGUAAAAUACGGUUGUGCUGUCACUUAUAGAUGGAUCCGCGCCGCAUUAGCUAGUUGGUAAGGUAACGGCUUACCAAGGCAACGAUGCGUAGCCGACCUGAGAGGGUGGUCGGCCACACUGGAACUGAGCCACGGUCAAGAGUCCUACGGGAGGCACCAGUAGGGAACCUUCCGCAAUGGGCGAAAGCAUGACGGAGCAACGCGGCGUGAGUGAUGACGGUCUUCGGAUCGUAAAACUCUGUUAUUAGGGAAGAACAAAUGUGUACGUAACUAUGCACGUCUUGACGGUACCUAAUCAGAAAGCCACGGCUAACUACGUG